GCGGGUUUUACCUUAAACGAGUUUACACGUUUCUACGAACAACAUCGAGUGAAUUAUUAUUGUGAAGUUAAAAGCGGGGAAAUCAUGUCGGACAAGUGCAGUGUCUGCGGCGAUUGUGAGAGUGUGGACGGGUCGUUUACUGAUUAUAGCACCGACUGGUCAGGGUCUGAUGAUGACUCUUGGGAAACCAACAGUGACUGCUCCGAAUGCGCGCAUGAAGCGAGAAACGAUGAUUUAAAAAAUUACGAUGACUGCGACAGAUACGAUGAUGAUGAUUUAAGUGAUGGUUGUGACAAGAACAGCGAUGGUGGCAGAAGCUAUCGUGGAAAGAAAUACAACAGUCGUAGAAAAAGAAACAUAGAAGAUAACGUAAGCGAUGAUGAAAAUGGUUUUAAUGAUGAUGAAAAAGGUGAUUCUGAAAAAGAUUUCAAUAAAGAUGGGAAAAGCGGUGAGGAAAAUGAUGAAGGUGAUGAAUUGAGGGACAAAUAUAAAGGUUUUGACGGUUACCCGCCGGAGAUUCAACAGUUUAUCAAGGAGAAUAAGAAUAAUAAGGUAUCGAAGGAAAACCCCACUCUGGACGGUAAUACCCACAAACCUGCUGAUAAGAAAGAUCUUGAAGCCCUGCUAGAGACGUUUGGUGGCAUGAUGAAGAAUUAUGAUGGUGCAGGAAGUGAAGAAGAAGAAAGCUUUGAGGGUGAUAAUGGGGAUGGCCAAUCGCUAGAGGGCCACAGCCGGGGCAAGCGCUCCAUCACCAAUCACGGUGGUAUCCACAAAACCCACCACCGACGACAUCAUGGUCACCAUCAUAGACACGGUGGUCAUGGUCACCAUCGCAGGCAUGGUCACCAUCGCAGGCCUGGUCACCAUAAGACGCACAGAAGACCACGUAGAAGCAUCUUAAGAAUGAGCAGGAUUAUCUGCCCGACUGGGAAGAGCUUCGUCUUUACGACGCCUGCAACGGACAGGACUGGUUGGAAAUGUGGUAACAACAGCAAGUUCAUUACUCUAUACAAACACGGGCGUAUGGGCCGCCGGGAGUACAACAUAGUGUCCAAAGAGUUUGACGAAUCCAAAACAGAUCACAACAUUGGGAAAUUCUCCAAAUACAAUAUUAUUAAGAUCCAGAAGGUAGUGAACCCUUGUUUUUGGAAGCGCUACUGUGACCAUCGGCGGUGGAUAAUCAUGGAUCGAAGGGCAAGGAACGAGGCUGGAGACGCCAACGAACGCCUCCUGUGGCACGGCUCCACGAAGGUCAUGGACCUGCUGAAGACCGGCUUUGAUGAGCGAUUCGCUAACCCUGGAGGCAUGUUCGGCGCUGGUUUAUACUUCGCAACCAACUCAUCAAAGAGCAACCAGUAUGUCUACCUUGGUGGCUGUCCAGCCCAUAAAAACGCCAACUGUCACCUGUGUGAGAGAAACAUACUCCUGUGUCGCGUGGCUCUGGGCAAAGUGAUGCAGUACACGACGGCGACCAAAUUGCCGCACGCGCCCAAAUACCACCACUCGGUAGAGGGCGUGGUCGGCGGCUCGCUCAAGUAUAGCGAGAACAUCGUCUAUAGAGGCGAACAGGUGAAAUAAAAAUUGACACUACAAUACAUAUAAAAUAAUAAAAUUGAACAUUUACUUACCUUUUUUAACAAUUUUCAGCUUAUUUUUCACUUUCCACACAGUGUCGGCCAUUUUUACUUGCGCGUGUGUGAGUGCAUUUUUUAGUCAUGGUUUCGAUAAUUUACGUUUUGGUCAAUAUUUAUGAAUUAUUCAUACAAAGCAAUUGAUAUUCAGAAUCUCCAUAAAAUUUCCUUUAAAAUAAUAUAAAAUAUGAGGUAUAUAAACAAGGCGUAACUUAAGAAUAACUCAAGGAAAAACACGAAAAGUUAUUUGAGAUCUGUAGGUUACUUUUAAAUUGAUAUAAUUCGUAAAUGAAUCACUUUGAGAACUUGUAAUUUAUAAAAAUUGAGACUGCAUUAAAUAUAAAAUAAUAAAACUGAACAAUUACUUAUCUUUUUUUAACAAUUUUCAGCUUAUUUUUCACUUUUAGUAAUCACUUUUAGUAGUUGAAGUAUCACUGGUCGAGACGGAAUUUCAACCGAUUUUUCUAGCGGAACUAUUGAACAUUUCAUCCGAAUGAUGGUUGUCUAUGAUAGAUCAUUUAUUAAAUUUUCUUCAAAACACAACAUUAAACCUUUUGCGAUAGAAUUAGAAUGGAUAAUUACGUAAAAAUAGGUACCAGUCCUAUGGGUCAGGAUCC
This is an RNA transcript of Pectinophora gossypiella (pink bollworm), 2248 nucleotides long. RefSeq lists it as uncharacterized. The transcript has 9 exons. NCBI's taxonomy places the organism in Eukaryota, Metazoa, Arthropoda, Insecta, Lepidoptera, Gelechiidae. The record is from RefSeq and is a predicted model, not a curated record.